AAUAUUUCUUUUCUUAGACCCAAUAUUGAAACAAGAGAAAAUCCACUAUCAUCGCGAAUUAGUUCAAUAGUCUUUGACCAAUCUGGCCCUACCAUGACAAGAGCCGACACAAGUAGCUCUUUCAGAUAAUUGAAUGCUUAUAGAUAUGCUUAAUCAAUGUUAAACUUUAGUUCCUUUUCAAGAAUUUUACACUUCAGAUGGGUGAUCUAUGAGAAGUAUUUAAUGAAUCGUCUAUAGAAUCUGCUAUAGACAAGGAAUAUCCUUACCCUCCUUAUAGAGAUAGAUGGAUGUACAUGGAAAUUACCUCAACUUUAGUGUGAUCAACUUGAGUUUUGUCUCCCGAGAUCUUGUGCCAACCACAAUUCCCUCUUUUACCAUCAUAUGGCAUUUUUUCUAAUUCAAGACAUGAUUGGUUUCCACACCCCUUCAAGAACAUUGCUUAAGUGAGCAAGGCAAGACUCAAAUGACUCCCCUAGUAUGAAAAAUUCGUACAUUAACUACUCCAUCAAAUCUUCCACCUUAUUAAAAAACAUAGAUCACAUUCAUCUUUGGAAAAUUGAUAGAGCAUUACACAACCCAGAUGGCAUACGCUUGAAGGAGAAAAUAUGAUAGAGACAACUG
RNAcentral lists this long non-coding RNA (621 nucleotides) under Capsicum annuum. RNAcentral's name for it is "long non-coding RNA (CANN_LNC005167)". The record is from RNAcentral. Lineage: Eukaryota; Viridiplantae; Streptophyta; Magnoliopsida; Solanales; Solanaceae.